Molecule: long non-coding RNA, 539 nt
Filed under: Androctonus crassicauda
Lineage: Eukaryota; Metazoa; Arthropoda; Arachnida; Scorpiones; Buthidae
Source: RNAcentral
CUUAAUUAACCAGGGGUCCUUUCACAUAGGGGUGCUGCUUUCAUGUAGGGUUGGGUUAUUCAUAUAGUGCCCGUCAAGUACUUUAAUUUUAAUGAGGCUUCAUUUUCUGCAUAAGUCUUGUUCCAGUGUUUCAACAGUGAGGUGGAUGCGUCUUCUAUUCUUGCGGUUUUUCCUCGAUUUCUGUGAAAAGUAUUUCCAUGCAUCUUGCAGUUGGGACCCUGAAUGUUCGUUGAGUAGCUGCUCCUUGUCGUGCCUCUUUGGAAUUUCUACGGCUUCCAUAUUGAGGGCCUGGAGGUAUCACUUGCCAGUUUUGUGAUUCUGGCUUGGUCCCAGUGUAUAGUUGGAUCUGCAUCAUAGGUGCUCUAAUCUGUAGGGCUGAGAUAUAUGCAGUAGAUAAGAAAGACUUAAAAAGUUAUAAUAUACAUAAAAGUAAUACAUAAUAUACGUAAAAGUUAUAAUGUAAUAUACGUAAAAGUAAAAGUUAUAAGAACAAGAAUUUGAAUUCUUGUUCUUAUAACUUUGUAAGCUGAAGAUGGCAG